Long non-coding RNA from Tripterygium wilfordii, 1666 nucleotides. RefSeq lists it as uncharacterized. Lineage: Eukaryota; Viridiplantae; Streptophyta; Magnoliopsida; Celastrales; Celastraceae. The transcript has 2 exons. The record is from RefSeq and is a predicted model, not a curated record.
CUGUCCACAUAUUAUAAGAUGAGAUGAGAUGAAAUUAAUAAAUUGGGUGCUUAGAUGAGAAGAUUCUAAGCAAAGUUAGAACUGUUGAACUGUGGUAAAGGUUCACAUUGACAGCUAAUUACUUAUAGCUCAUAUAUUAGAUAUCAAGGCUCUGUUUAGUUGGAGUUUGUCCUUGUUCUCAAGUGAUGAAGAUUCUGUUUCUCAUUUGAGUCUUUGCUUGUCCAUUUUGUUGUUUCUAUUUGGCAUUGAAUUGAGAGAACAUAAUUUAUGAUUGUUAAGUAUUCAUCCAUUCGAAUAGACCCAGACUAUAUUACUAGUUACAAACUUAUGGGUGUAUUUGGUCCUUUUUUCGAAGACACUCAUGAUGAUUGUGCUCUGUCUUCCCAGUUUUAGCCUGAGUUCUGGCAUACUCAUAACUUAUGAUCUACCAAAUUCUGGUACCUCGCACCCUUUACUACUGGUCCUUUCGUUUGAUUCUUAUCUUUCGAAAGUAAAUUGUAUUAGGUUCUUGACAUAAAACUUUGCUUACCAGGGCAGUAGAGAACGGGAGUAGAGGAGUUCCAGACAGGUGUAGGACAUACUAUAUAAGUGUGAAAUCAUGCUUCUUAUAUUGAUAAUAACCUUGAAUGGUGGGAAAAUGCUUGAUGCCGUGCCGUCAACUGCUUGUUUGAGCUCUUCUUAAUGGAAUGAAGACAAAGAAUGCAGUGAGUACUUGGGGUCCUAGGCUUAAAGUAGCCAAAUAAUCCUAAAUCUAUAUGGUUGUAGGAGUAGGUCAUAGAAUAAAUAUGUUGUCCAUUCCUUUAGUGCUACUUCCACUAUGGAUUGUCUCUUUCAAAUGUAAGCACCUAUCCGCUCCUUGUUUCAUUAUAAAUCAUGUGGAGCUGAGAAUUUGUUUGUGCAUUGGACAUUUGUGCUAAAGAAAUGGAAGCUCCAAUGAAAUAUGUCUGCUUUCUAUUGUUUCUUGUUAUUCUGGGAAUUUCUUGGUUUAAUGGAGUCAAUGGGGCUGGUGAGUGCGGAAAUCAUCUCCCCAACAUGGAAGCAUUCGAGUGGCUCCGUGUGCAUCAGCGGCAUAGGACAAGAAUGCCUCGGUUUCUAACCAGAGCUGCGCUCAGGUGAAGAAACUUGGCCAGAACCCCCUCUGGCUUUGUGCUGUCAUGCUGUCCAAUACAGCUAAGAGUUCUGGACUCCGACUAUGGAGCCAAUCCAGAAGUUGCCAUUACCAUUCCCAGAUGCUGCAACAUCGCCGAUGGUUCAGUGGGUUAUUAAGCGUGCUUCUUAUACUUUGCAGUGAAGAAUUAACACCAUGGUCUGCAGUGCGUGUGGUGGUCUUACAAUGCCGAAGAAUUCACCUUAUAUGCAUAUCUAUUAAUGUACUAGCUAGAGCAUGAAUCCUGGUAAGUACUUUGCCUGCUACUAUCACUACUGUAACUUCCACACAUCUGAAAGAUGAUAAAAAAAAAUCUGUUUCCACAAUUAGUUGCUAGUUCUUGCUCAUAUGUUCUUCUGGUUUCAAUCGUUCGUUUGUCGUAAAUGAUCCGAUAACAGGCUAAGCUAAGCAAGCAUGUUUUCUUAACUGAACUUUGUCAGGAAGUUUUGGUUGUACACAGUUACUGAUGUAUAUAUAUAUAUAUGGAUUUUGUUAUACAUAUAUAUAGAGCGAAGAUGA